AUGUACACGAAUUAGGUCAGGUUAUAUACUCCGUACUUGUCACUCCGCCUAAAAUCCAACACCGAUCAGCGAUCAGGCAGGCGGCAGGCCUCCCUCCGUCAGCCGGUUGCUUCAAAGGGCAGAUUUGCUUUUGGCCAACGGCGAGAUAGUAAGUCCUAGGAUGAAGCCCUGAUUGGCGUGAUUAAUUACUAGCUUAUCCAAGGCCUGAUUGUCGCGGAGCCUGAUGUUCUCCAGCCUAGAAGACGAGCAUCUUCAGAAAGGAUAACGGAUCAGACAAAAGAGAGUGCCACUGAACCCUAGCUCUACUGGGGACGCUCCCUGUACCAUUGCCAUCUUAAGAUCGCGUGAGACGGUGGUGGGAGACGGCGAUUGGCCGCAUGAACAGGAAGCAGGCGCCGGUGAAUCCAGCCGCCAAAGAGGACUAAUUGCACCGCCUUGGCUCAUCUCUCCCUCACCUGAAUCAUGCACACGACAGCGCCAAAUUAAAGAUAGAGAUUGAACCUAAGAAUAGAUUAUUAAAAUGUCAAUUACAUUUUUUUAGCAAAUUCCUAUUAUAUCCUUGUAAAUACUUACAGUAUAUACUGCCAGUAUAUUGUACCG
RNAcentral lists this small RNA (600 nucleotides) under Oryza sativa Japonica Group (Japanese rice). Its description in RNAcentral is "sRNA Os02g0676450". Lineage: Eukaryota; Viridiplantae; Streptophyta; Magnoliopsida; Poales; Poaceae. The record is from RNAcentral.